This is a long non-coding RNA of Carya illinoinensis, 875 nucleotides long. RefSeq lists it as uncharacterized. NCBI's taxonomy places the organism in Eukaryota, Viridiplantae, Streptophyta, Magnoliopsida, Fagales, Juglandaceae. The transcript has 2 exons. The record is from RefSeq and is a predicted model, not a curated record.
UCCAUGGUCGUCUUAACAAUUUAUUGUUUAUGUUUGAAACCAGGAGUUAUAGCCACUUGUCACCUUCGUCAAUCUCGACGUGAUAAAGUUGAACCUCCCGUAUCAUGGCAGUGAUACGUUGCUUCUCAGCGCCAUAAAUUUGGGCGAUCCCUCGUUCAACUUAUCGUGAAGAUUAUACAGCGUGGCCCCGACAACCAUCUUUUAGCUUUUAAAAAAUUUCGAUUACAUUUUCGUCUGUUUCGAUUUCGCCUUAAUAGCUACAAAUCCCCAAUUCUAUGAACUCCCAAAAGAACCCUAAAACCCCAAAUCCGAUCUCACUGACUCCGAUUGAAGGUAACGGAAAAGAUUGAGAAUGUUUGAGGAGGGCGGAGAAGCAGUAGAGACGAAGAAGAGGAGGAGUGCCCGGAUAUUGGAAUUGGAGGGAGAGAAGGAGAAGAAGAAGAAGCACAACGACGGAAAGGACCAACAGGAGGACAACUAAAAUCCAAAUCCAAAUCCAUGGUUGAGGCUUCUCAGGAUUCUCAGCAAGAGGACCAUGUUAUGUACCUGAAGUAAAGCGAUGAAGUAAAGGAGAAAGAAAUAAACAUAGCGUUUUGGGUCUUUAGUAAAACUAUGCGUUUUGUUUGGGCUGUUCAUUUUGUGGGACCUUUGCCCGACAUUUGGGUACUGUUAUUUUUACAGUCAUUUUAUCAAUUCUUACUUCUCUUAUGGUUUAUGAUGUACGAGCUGGUGGGGGUAUAUAGGAGAGCAGAGAGGAAAGUAGAGGAAUAUCUUGAAUCUGGAAAAUUGUCAAUAGUUUGAUUUGUAAGGAGGUUGGGUUCCCUCGAAGAAUCCCUUAUCAAUAUAUGCGUGACUCUCUUUAUCAUUUUUACAAA